Oncorhynchus tshawytscha (Chinook salmon) is the source of this 300-nucleotide long non-coding RNA. The record is from Ensembl. NCBI's taxonomy places the organism in Eukaryota, Metazoa, Chordata, Actinopteri, Salmoniformes, Salmonidae.
UGUACAUUCUGGUAGAGCACUGAACUGAGUUUUAACCACAGCAGGUCCCUCUUCCUCUGUAAAAGACAAGACAUAUCCUUGUACAUUCUGGUAGAGCACUGAACUGAGUUUUAACCACAGCAGGUCCCUCUUCCUCUGUAAAAGACAAGACAUAUCCUUGUACAUUCUGGUAGAGCACUGAACUGAGUUUUAACCACAGCAGGUCCCUCUUCCUCUGUAAAAGACAAGACAUAUCCUUGUACAUUCUGGUAGAGCACUGAACUGAGUUUUAACCACAGCAGGUCCCUCUUCCUCUGUAAA